This 293-nucleotide long non-coding RNA is filed under the name Nicotiana benthamiana. RNAcentral describes it as "long non-coding RNA (NBEN_LNC027075)". Lineage: Eukaryota; Viridiplantae; Streptophyta; Magnoliopsida; Solanales; Solanaceae. The record is from RNAcentral.
AUCGCUCAUUCUGAGGAGGAGGUACUCAAUCUGAGUCCUCACCGCCGAACUCUUGAAGGUGACCAAAUGCUCCUCCCUCUUCUGAAAUGUCGAGUUCGCAAUCAGGAGCUCGGAAGCCCUCGCGAAAUCAAGCAGUGACGUGCCUCCUCCAUUCCUAACCCCAAAGCCGAAGCCACCAUGCACCUCACUAUAACCACCGGCAUCAGCCCCAAUAUGACCAUUAAAGUCUCCUCCAAUAACUAGCUUCUCAGAUUGGGGAAUACUACUCACCAGAUCAUCCAAGCCCUCCCNNN